RNAcentral lists this ribosomal RNA (480 nucleotides) under Streptomyces panayensis. RNAcentral's name for it is "bacterial SSU rRNA". It matches the Rfam family "Bacterial small subunit ribosomal RNA", at positions 926 to 1370 of the family's 1533-position model. Lineage: Bacteria; Bacillati; Actinomycetota; Actinomycetes; Kitasatosporales; Streptomycetaceae. The record is from RNAcentral.
GGGUGCGUCCAGGGAUAUAUCAAAGAUUGGGGGCCCCCAAGCGGCGACACGUGGGUUUAUUGGCGCACGCGAGGCCUUACCAAAGCUUUACAUCCCCGGGGACCCUGGAGGACGGGUCCCCCGGUGGGUCGGGGACAGGUUGGGCAUGGCUUUCGUCCAGUUGUUUCGUGAGAAUGUUGGGUUAAGUCCCGCCAACGAGCGGCACCCUUGGUCCCGUGUUGCCAGCAGGCCCUUGUGGGGCUGGGGACUCACGGGAGACCGCCCGGGGCAACUCGGAGGAAGGGUGGGGGGGGACGUCAAGUCAUCAUGCCCCUUAUGUCUUGGGCUGCACACGUGCUACAAUGGCCGGUACUAUGAGCUGAGAAUACCGCGAGGUGGAGCGAAUCUCAAAAAGUCGGUCUAAGUUUGGAUUGGGGUCUGCAACUCGACCCCAUGAAGUCGGAGUCGCUAGUAAUCGCAGAUAAGCAUGAAGACGCUGUC